Long non-coding RNA from Rhipicephalus sanguineus (brown dog tick), 487 nucleotides. RefSeq lists it as uncharacterized. The transcript is spliced from 4 exons. Lineage: Eukaryota; Metazoa; Arthropoda; Arachnida; Ixodida; Ixodidae. The record is from RefSeq and is a predicted model, not a curated record.
UCUUCUCUUAGGGCACGCUCUUAGUUGCUGUGGACUCUAGCCACGACCACGAGCUCUCCUUGUGGGACUGGCAGAAAAACGAGAUCCUUGGCAGAGCUGUUGCAAAUCCAGCUCCCGUUCUGGGCUGCCACUUCCCGCCGUCUGAGAACGAGCUGUUCCUGACGUUCGGCGUGCAGCAUCUGUGCUUCUGGAGGAAGGGAAAAGAGAACUACCUCGACCGUCUGGACGCCAUCACCGCUGAACAUGCGCCGAAGACAAUCACAGCCGUCGACUUCAUGGGCAGCGCAGGCUUCGUGACCGGCGACGAUGCGGGCUACGUCACCGUCUGGUCGGCCUCCAAGGAAGGCAGUUACUUCUUCAUCAGCAAGGAAUUCAGGGCGCACGAGAACGACGUGAACGUCCUCCUGUUUCUGCCGCACAAUCUGUUAAUAUCAGCGUCGGCUGUAGACAGAGAAGAUCAGAUCAAGGCGUGGGAUGCCGACAAAAA